CCGCUACAUAUUCCAAAAAUUUUGAAAUCUCUGCAAGCAUACCGGAUCACCCUAUGAUGGCAUUUCCUAACAAAAAUGCCCCUAUUAUAUCCAUCUUUCUCAUUUUCUACUAUUUUCAAGUUCCAACUAACUUAAGUAUUGGAGGCUCCUCCAUAUGAAAAUCUUUAGUGAGUGUGGACUUCCUUAGCAGGUGCUCCAAGAUGAAGACACUCCAAUCAGUCACCAG
This 226-nucleotide long non-coding RNA is filed under the name Elaeis guineensis (African oil palm). RNAcentral's name for it is "long non-coding RNA (EGUI_LNC009687)". Lineage: Eukaryota; Viridiplantae; Streptophyta; Magnoliopsida; Arecales; Arecaceae. The record is from RNAcentral.